Drosophila yakuba is the source of this 444-nucleotide long non-coding RNA. RefSeq lists it as uncharacterized. Lineage: Eukaryota; Metazoa; Arthropoda; Insecta; Diptera; Drosophilidae. The record is from RefSeq and is a predicted model, not a curated record. The transcript is spliced from 3 exons.
CAACCUUAAUUUAUUUGAUCAAUAACAAAAAAAGGUAUGGUGGUGCUAUUAUUUUUUUCGCAAAGGAACUCAAAAAAUUUAUGUUGAACACCAACGUGGGUGCAAUUUGAAAUAAAAGCUUAAGGUGAAAAAGUGCAAGCAAAGAGAGAACAGCGCAAAAAAAUCAACGAAAAAAAAACAAAUAUACAAGUUUUGUUCCCCUUGUUUAUUGGAUGGCAAAAUGUGAGGGAAUGAAACCACUUACGAUACUUUCCAUAAAGUACCUAUGCAUUCCAUCUACUUCGACUGGGUCUGAAAGGACCUUUAGUAAGGCUGGUCAGAUUAUAUCUGAUCGAAGAUCCUCACUAAAACCAAAAGGGAUAGUAAUGCUACUUUUCAUCAACAAAAACCAAAACAUGUGAUCUCUUAUUUUAAAUAUUGUUGAAUGAAUGAAAUAAAACUUUU